ACUUGUUUUGUUGGUGGUCACCUAACCAUGCUCCAGUCAGUGCAACCAUGUAUCUCCGGUGAUCUGAUCAUAUGCGUGCGUGCGCAUGCAUGGUUAGAUGACCAUCAGCAAACAUGUU
This 118-nucleotide microRNA precursor is filed under the name Dichanthelium oligosanthes. RNAcentral describes it as "MIR827 microRNA precursor family". It matches the Rfam family "MIR827 microRNA precursor family". Lineage: Eukaryota; Viridiplantae; Streptophyta; Magnoliopsida; Poales; Poaceae. The record is from Rfam by way of RNAcentral.